RNAcentral lists this ribosomal RNA (468 nucleotides) under uncultured bacterium. RNAcentral's name for it is "partial 16S ribosomal RNA". It matches the Rfam family "Bacterial small subunit ribosomal RNA", at positions 28 to 507 of the family's 1533-position model. The record is from RNAcentral.
GACGAACGCUGGCGGCGUGCUUAACACAUGCAAGUCGAACGGAAAGGCCCUGCUUUUGUGGGGUGCUCGAGUGGCGAACGGGUGAGUAACACGUGAGUGACCUGCCCUUGACUUUGGGAUAACUUCAGGAAACUGGGGCUAAUACCGGAUAGGAGCUCCUGCUGCAUGGUGGGGGUUGGAAAGUUUCGGCGGUUGGGGAUGGACUCGCGGCUUAUCAGCUUGUUGGUGGGGUAGUGGCUUACCAAGGCUUUGACGGGUAGCCGGCCUGAGAGGGUGACCGGCCACAUUGGGACUGAGAUACGGCCCAGACUCCUACGGGAGGCAGCAGUGGGGAAUAUUGCACAAUGGGCGGGAGCCUGAUGCAGCAACGCCGCGUGCGGGAUGACGGCCUUCGGGUUGUAAACCGCUUUCGCCUGUGACGAAGCGUGAGUGACGGUAAUGGGUAAAGAAGCACCGGCUAACUACGUG